CUGGGAAAUACAAUUGCCUGUUUUCGUAGUCUUAAUGCAAACCUCGCAGCCUGGUGUGUCAGUACCUCUACCUUCCUGAAUAAUUAAAAACACACAUAUAUGCAUCAUCAAACACAUUACUCCUGACAUCUUCUUCCUAAUUCUUCGACCGUGCGACAGCACCUCAGCUUCCAGGCGUGUGAGGGCUGCAGGGAAUGGAGUCCUUCUGAUCCUCACUGUUCUUCACAGAGGAUUCCUCUGGCUUAAACGUUGGUAGGUGGUCAGGCUUUAUUGUGGCCAUCAAAACACCUACUUGUAGAUCUUUGUUGAUGUUCCCUUGUAACAAUACUCUUCGCAAAAAACACUUUUAAUCUAACUGGGUCACUCGCUUCAACCGGAUCUUGCAGGGAUUCUCAGGAUCUUGAGUAGCUUGCCAAGAAUCUGCUGCUGGU
Molecule: non-coding RNA, 431 nt
Organism: Pelobates cultripes (western spadefoot toad)
Lineage: Eukaryota; Metazoa; Chordata; Amphibia; Anura; Pelobatidae
Source: the annotation of a GenBank genome assembly